UACGAAGGGGGCUAGCGUUGUUCGGAAUUACUGGGCGUAAAGCGCACGUAGGCGGAUUUUUAAGUCAGGGGUGAAAUCCCGGGGCUCAACCUCGGAACUGCCUUUGAUACUGCAAGUCUCGAGUCCGAUAGAGGUGAGUGGAAUUCCUAGUGUAGAGGUGAAAUUCGUAGAUAUUAGGAAGAACACCAGUGGCGAAGGCGGCUCACUGGAUCGGUACUGACGCUGAGGUGCGAAAGCGUGGGGAGCAAACAGG
This 253-nucleotide ribosomal RNA is filed under the name uncultured bacterium. Its description in RNAcentral is "partial 16S ribosomal RNA". It matches the Rfam family "Bacterial small subunit ribosomal RNA", at positions 524 to 776 of the family's 1533-position model. The record is from RNAcentral.